RNAcentral lists this microRNA (22 nucleotides) under Ixodes scapularis (black-legged tick). RNAcentral's name for it is "Isc-Mir-2-P3_5p (mature (guide))". Lineage: Eukaryota; Metazoa; Arthropoda; Arachnida; Ixodida; Ixodidae. The record is from RNAcentral.
GCAUCAAACUGGUUGUGGUUUG